RNAcentral lists this ribosomal RNA (435 nucleotides) under uncultured bacterium. RNAcentral's name for it is "bacterial SSU rRNA". It matches the Rfam family "Bacterial small subunit ribosomal RNA", at positions 355 to 786 of the family's 1533-position model. The record is from RNAcentral.
UGAGGAAUAUUGGUCAAUGGGCGAGAGCCUGAACCAGCCAAGUCGCGUGAGGGAAGACGGUCCUAUGGAUUGUAAACCUCUUUUGCCGGGGAGCAAGAAGAUCACGUGUGAUCUCAGGCGAGAGUACCCGGAGAAAAGCAUCGGCUAACUCCGUGCCAGCAGCCGCGGUAAUACGGAGGAUGCGAGCGUUAUCCGGAUUUAUUGGGUUUAAAGGGUGCGUAGGCGGACUUUUAAGUCAGCGGUAAAACUUGAGGGGCUCAACCCCUUCCCCGCCGUUGAAACUGGGAGUCUUGAGUGGGCGAGAAGUAUGCGGAAUGCGUGGUGUAGCGGUGAAAUGCAUAGAUAUCACGCAGAACCCCGAUUGCGAAGGCAGCAUACCGGCGCCCAACUGACGCUGAAGCACGAAAGCGUGGGGAUCAAACAGGAUUAGAUACC